GGGUAGCCGCCUUAAAAGGGUGACCGGCCACACCUGGACUGAGACCCGGCCCAGACUCCUACGGGAGGCAGCAGUGGGGAAUAUUGCACAAUGGGCGGAAGCCUGAUGCAGCAACGCCGCCUGAGGGAUGACGGCCUUCGGGUUGUAAACCUCUUUUAGCAGGGAAGAAGCGAGAGUGACGGUACCUGCAGAAAAAGCACCGGCUAACUACGUGCCAGCAGCCGCGGUAAUACGUAGGGUGCAAGCGUUAUCCGGAAUUAUUGGGCGUAAAGAGCUCGUAGGCGGUUUGUCGCGUCUGCUGUGAAAUCCCGAGGCUCAACCUCGGGCCUGCAGUGGGUACGGGCAGACUAGAGUGCGGUAGGGGAGAUUGGAAUUCCUGGUGUAGCGGUGGAAUGCGCAGAUAUCAGGAGGAACACCGAUGGCGAAGGCAGAUCUCUGGGCCGUAACUGACGCUGAGGAGCGAAAGGGUGGGGAGCAAACAGGCUUAGAUACCCUGGUAGUCCACCCCGUAAACGUUGGGAACUAGUUGUGGGGUCCUUUCCACGGAUUCCGUGACGCAGCUAACGCAUUAAGUUCCCCGCCUGGGGAGUACGGCCGCAAGGCUAAAACUCAAAGGAAUUGACGGGGACCCGCACAAGCGGCGGAGCAUGCGGAUUAAUUCGAUGCAACGCGAAGAACCUUACCAAGGCUUGACAUACACGAGAACGGGCCAGAAAUGGUCAACUCUUUGGACACUCGUGAACAGGUGGUGCAUGGUUGUCGUCAGCUCGUGUCGUGAGAUGUUGGGUUAAGUCCCGCAACGAGCGCAACCCUCGUUCUAUGUUGCCAGCACGUAAUGGUGGGAACUCAUGGGAUACUGCCGGGGUCAACUCGGAGGAAGGUGGGGAUGACGUCAAAUCAUCAUGCCCCUUAUGUCUUGGGCUUCACGCAUGCUACAAUGGCCGGUACAAAGGGCUGCAAUACCGUGAGGUGGAGCGAAUCCCAAAAAGCCGGUCCCAGUUCGGAUUGAGGUCUGCAACUCGACCUCAUGAAGUCGGAGUCGCUAGUAAUCGCAGAUCAGCAACGCUGCGGUGAAUACGUUCCCGGGUCUUGUACA
This 1096-nucleotide ribosomal RNA is filed under the name Microbacterium azadirachtae. RNAcentral describes it as "bacterial SSU rRNA". It matches the Rfam family "Bacterial small subunit ribosomal RNA", at positions 281 to 1387 of the family's 1533-position model. Lineage: Bacteria; Bacillati; Actinomycetota; Actinomycetes; Micrococcales; Microbacteriaceae. The record is from RNAcentral.